UGCAGCAUGGCAGAAUCUCUCACCACUUUCUCUGAUCCGAGGACAGAAAUGAGCAUCCUGGAAACCAACCAGUACUUGCGCUCCCAGCUGGCAAAAACCAAACAGAGCUUCCGAGACCUCACAGAGAAAUUCCUCACAUCCAAGGCUACUGCUUACUCCCUGGCCAAUCAGCUGCAGAAAUACAGUAAGCCCAGUGUGGUCACAGUCACCAGAGUGACUGCCCAUCUUCCCUCUGAGAAACUAAACACUCCCCAAACUUUAUUCUUCUCUCUCCAUCAAAAUAAAUCUCAUCCUGACUAUACUCCUGGAAAAGUAGAAGUGGAUAUGUUACUCUCAAUUUGCAGAAGAUGGAAACACUGAAGCACAAAGGAAUGAAGUUUAUAGUGAGAGGGUAGGAAGGCAUAGAGGCUAAACUGUGGGUUCAGGCAUUAAACUGUCUUUUCUCUCUCAGGAACAUGUAUCAGACUCUAUAAACAUAUAGUAACACUGUUGGCUUAAAUAUCUCAGGAUUCAGUUCCAACUUUUUCUAAGUACCCGUUUGCAAAGCACUGUGCUAGCCAUACUAGCGUAAUAGUGUAAUAGCAUACCCUCCCUGUCUUAUGGGAGCUUAAAGCUGUUUCCCACUCAACCAGAUACCUGGAGAUGAGAACAUCAAUAGCAAACACCGAGGGAAGUCCUGAUGCCUGGAGCCAGAUUCUUUUCCCACGUAAGUUCCAGGAAGCCGUCCCUUACACUCUGUGAGAUUGAACGUAUUUCCAGGAAAAUCAGAGACUCUUUAACACCUUUUUGAUCUCUCCCUUGAAUAUGAACUUUGAAGACAACAAGCUGGUCCAGGAUCUGGGCUUUGAGAUGCAGGGCCAAAAUGAGAAUGAGGCUAAGUGGGUGAGGCCUCCAGUGCAGCAGACCAGGUCUGUAUAGGAGCUGGCCCUUCCCUCUCCAUGCUCAGCUUUCACAUUUGGAAAUCCUUGGACAGUCUCACACGUGUUUGUCAUGGGGUUGGGGGGGUACCAGUGGGAAGCUGUAGUGACUGAAGGAAACAUGAUGGAAGUGAGGACACAUGAGAGACAGGAACAGUAGAGGAGGAUGCUUGCUGACAUUGAAGUUGAGUUUGCUUUCAAAUUCCUACAAUUUUUCAGUAAAUUAGUAGAGGAUGAAAUUUGCUUAUCCAACUUACAUGGAGAAAAAAAUUUAAAAAAUGCCUACUUAUUAAAGAAGAAAAAGAUGAGCUUUGGGGUGUGGAAGAAUAAAGGGCUUUUUUUCUACAUCACUUAUUAUAAAAUCACAAUUGUAGGACAAAUAUUUUGGAGCUAGUAAAGAGAUCUUGCCCUAGAUCUUAGUGUAAAGAUAAUACAGUACAGUGAUUAUGAGCAUGUACCCUGGGACCAGACUUCUGGGUCCAAAUCCAAGUUAUCCUUUUUGUGCCUCAGUUUUCUCACCUGUGAUGGUAGUAAGAAUAUUUGCCUUUGCAGUUAGUUGUGAUGAUUACAUGAUAAUUCUCAAAAACCUAGGACAGUGCAAUGGCAAGCACCGGGUAUUCUCUCCCUCUAACCUAACACAACACCUGUUUGCAUUUGAACAUACGUCUUUCAGAUUUUUUCCCCUCCAUAUACAUUUUACACCCUUGUAUCCAGAUAAACUUUUAAAUUUUUGAACUAUUGAGGGAAUUAUUGAAACUCUCAACGUGGGAGAACCAUCAGUCCGACAAUCUUCGGAGACAUCCUAAACACAGGAAAUCACUACUUCAUGCUUUAUGGUUUAUUUCAGGUUAAUGGUUUAUUUCCGAGGCUACCAAGCUUGGUAAAAUGGCCCAAGAUUUGGAGUCAGACCUCAGGGGAUGUGAAUUCCUCAGGGAUUGUCUCAUUCCAGUUGAAUCCAGUUGAGCAAGUUACCUGCCCAUGAGCUUCUCUUUCCCCAUAUCUAAGAUGGGGAGCAAUCAUAUGCCAUGUAGCCUGGGAGAUUGAGGAAUGAAAUGUGGAAAUCCCAGCAGAGAGCCUGGUAAUGGGGUUACAUUUGUCCUUGGGGUGGACCCUGCCUCCUCGUGUGAAGGCAGUGACUAGAGCAGCGUGUCCAGCUUUCCACUGAGGCAGGUGUGUCUGUUUUUUUCAGAGAGUGAAGAGCACAAAGCCCUCAUUGAAUCUGUGCUAGAGGAGGGAGCGCGGUUUGAGGGAGAGCUGGCAGAGAAGAGGAGCCCAGCUGCAAGGCUGGGGUAAGGAGGUGCCUGUGCGGGAGGGUGUGAAUUACGGUCUUAAGUGGACCUUGCGGGCUGCUAGUAUAGAGAGCGCAUGUGCAAGGAGAAGGGCAGGAGAGUACCUGGCAGGCACAGAACCAGACAAAGACAACCGGCGGGGUUGUGAGAAUGGGUGGGAGAACAGUCUGGUCUCUGGGGUUCUCUCUUAAAUAGCAUAAGAAUAAAAUGGAGACAGAUGCCUGGGAUGGAAUACUAGCAAUGUGGCUUCCAGGUGGGUGGCCUUGUGCAAAUUCACUCAGCUUUCCUGCAUUUCAGUUACCUCAGCUACCUCACCUGCAAAAUAAAAAUACCAAUGGUAUCUACCUCAGAGGGUUAUGAAGAUGAGACACAUGAUUACAGGUUAAAACCAUCUCCUAUGCGUAUGAAGCUCUCAACAAAUAUUUUCUGUAAUCAUUAUACUUGCUUUUAUUUUUUACAGGAGUGGUAGUUGUCAUUAAUGGACUAACAUUUUCUACCAUGAGAGAGAUUUUCCCAAGUUUUCCAAAGUGCCUUUUUCAUGAUAAAAAUGUUUCUCCUUCUCAACUUUGAUUUUUUUUCUAAGUACCAUACUAUGUGGAGUACUAACUGGUAGGGCUGUUGGGCAGAUAGAUAAUCAAGCAGUCUGGGAAAAUGGAUUAUUAAUGUGCUCUGGACUAGCCUUGUCCAUCCUCAGAUUGUUUCAAAUAUAGGGGAGAUUGUGGGAUUCCAGAUGUCUUUUAACCCUUUGUUGAAAGGGAAUCUGAGAAGCUCAAAUGUAUAAAACUUCCUAAAGCAGAGAUACUUGAUUGAAGAAGGCAUAGGUCUGGAGCCUCUGUUGCUCCCUAGUCUAUGCCUUCACCAACUCUGACACUUUUUAAGAGCUCUAUGGAAUAGAAUUUGAAAGACAAUCUGUAGAAUAUAAUUUAGUAGACAGCAGGGAGGAGAUUCAGGCAUCAGAUGAGGUAGACCUAAAUAUCUCGUCCAGCUUUAGGAUUAUGUGGUUCUAAGUAUUAACCGAAUGCCUACUUGUGUGUGUACACUCUGUUGGGUACUGUAAGUUGGGUACUACAUGGCACUGUCUCUAGCCUCGCAGAGCUCACACUUUUAGAUUGGAAUCUGUGUAUAAUAUUUGUAUAAUAAUUAGAAAAUGGUGAAAACCCACUUAGAGUGAUGUAAUUGUUACUCAGAACUUUAUUUACUCUUAAGUGCCUCCUUACUGAUUAUUACUCCUUUUCACGUCACUCAAAAGAAUGUUAUCCUUCUUGACCUUUACAUUGAUUUUCCUUUUCAUCCUUUGAAUUAACACCACACGUACCCAUCCAACACUUCCGUAUCUGGUUUGUGCGUGUGUGCGUGCAACUUUCUGUAUAAUGCUAGGUAGUAUAUAUUCCAUGGAAAUGGAUGUGGGCUGAAUUGAGGAACUAAAGGGGCAUCUUUUCAAAGCAAAGCUAAUAAAACAACAAACAAACCCAAUGCUGUUUCCUCAUUCCCUCUGCCACAGGCAGGCCAAGUCACAUGACUUGUAUAAGAAUUCAAGUUGGGGAAUUCCUUAGGGGCAUUCUAAGAGAUGUCUCUGUUGAAACUCCCACAACCUAUCGUUCACUACAUGCACUGUUAUAUUUUACUUUUCUUUCCUACCUUAGGAAACAUGAUACCCUAAUUCAGGCUCAUGCCCGAGAACUGACCCACUUACGACAGAAGAUACGAGAAGGGAAAGGUGUCUGUUAUCUUUUCAUUCAGCAUACGAAGAGCAUAGUGAAGUCUUUUGAGGGCCUCCUCAGGAGUGCUGACAUUCCCUACUACCAGGGACAGAGAUUCUGUGAGCAGCUGGCCCAAGGAAGCCAGCUGGCAGAGAGCCUUGCCAGCAAACUCAUCACUG
Molecule: long non-coding RNA, 4085 nt
Filed under: Lynx pardinus (Iberian lynx)
Lineage: Eukaryota; Metazoa; Chordata; Mammalia; Carnivora; Felidae
Source: RNAcentral